AAUAUUGCACAAUGGGGGAAACCCUGAUGCAGCGACGCCGCGUGAGCGAAGAAGGCCUUCGGGUCUUAAAGCCCUUUCACCGAUGAAGAUAAUGACGGUAGUCGGAGACGAAGCCCCGGCUAACUUCGUGCCAGCAUCCGCGGUAAUACGAAGGGGGCUAGCGUUGUUCGGAUUUACUGGGCGUAAAGCGCACGUAGGCGGAUUGGUCAGUUAGAGGUGAAAUCCCGAAGCUCAACUUCGGAACUGCCUUUAAUACUGCCAGUCUCGAGUCCGGAAGAGGUAAGUGGAACUCCUAGUGUAGAGGUGGAAUUCGUAGAUAUUAGGAAGAACACCAGUGGCGAAGGCGGCUUACUGGUCCGGAACUGACGCUGAGGUGCGAAAGCGUGGGGAGCAAACAG
RNAcentral lists this ribosomal RNA (398 nucleotides) under uncultured bacterium. Its description in RNAcentral is "partial 16S ribosomal RNA". It matches the Rfam family "Bacterial small subunit ribosomal RNA", at positions 360 to 775 of the family's 1533-position model. The record is from RNAcentral.